UCCCUGUGUACCUGAGGCCUUCUGAUGGUCUGACCACAUACCCAUGUGGUCUGGCUUACCUUCCAUAGGGGCUGGCUGCAAGGUGGUAGCUGAAUGCUCAGUAGAAGUCUCUAGAAAUUGGGUCUGGUUCCACUUGCUCCUGUGCAGUGCAGAGUGAGAAGAACAAUGUGAAAACAACGAGAAGUGAAACAUUCCAACACAAGAGCCCACAAGAACUACCCUCAGCAUUAGCCUGGUGUGGU
Molecule: long non-coding RNA, 242 nt
Organism: Numida meleagris (helmeted guineafowl)
Lineage: Eukaryota; Metazoa; Chordata; Aves; Galliformes; Numididae
Exons: 3
Source: RefSeq, a predicted model, not a curated record